GCUGGGUUUGGUGGCACAAGCCUGUAGUCCCAGUUACUUGGGAAGGUGAGGUGGGAGGAUUGCUUAAGACCAGGAGUUCCAGACAGGCCUGGGCAAUAGUGAGACCCUGUCUAAA
RNAcentral lists this small RNA (115 nucleotides) under Marmota monax (woodchuck). The record is from RNAcentral. Lineage: Eukaryota; Metazoa; Chordata; Mammalia; Rodentia; Sciuridae.